AUAGCAUAACAUUCCGAACAGGCCACAGAGAUCAGGAUGAGCACAUAUAGGCGACAUAUCACUUGGAAUGAACUAAGAUUGUCUACCAAAUGGCCCUAGUUCCAAAAUGAUAACGUUAAUGGAAGGAAACCAUAAACAUUGUCGGAAAGAGGACAAGGAGAAGGCCACAAAAUAAUUCCAUGGCUAUGAGAUGCUAUUAACUGGGGGAUUAUACUCUUGCUAGCUAGCUCAAAAGAUUAUUCUUUUUGACUCAAAGGUCACAACUUCUUUCUCGUGGUGGGUUACCCUCAAUCAAUCACUCAUUCAAUUCAAGAACCAAAAUCAUAAUCUAUGACUCCAAAAUUUUUUAUUCUUGGCGUGUUUUCUAGGAAGAUAGGAUAGUUGUUAACACUAUUAAGAAAGAAAAAGAAGUUAAAAUCAUAUUCAUAAUACAGUCCAAUAUAGAGUAUCAAAGGUACACAUCAAAUUUUGGACCUUUUUGUAUGAGAUUUUAUAAAGAUGCCAAAUUGUGCAAUGUACAAAUAUAAUUAUGUAGUACUACAUACCAAACCUGCAUAUCAAGUUUGUAGAGAUGUCAAAGUGCACUAUGAGUUUGGACCCCCUGUGCUAGAUUCCAUAGAGAUGUCAAACUGUGCAAUGUAGAACUACAAAUGUUUACGAACAAAAUUUGAAAAAAGUGCGGAUGCAGAUGUAGAUGUAGAUGUAAUUGUGAUGUAGAAAGGACGAGUACAGUAGGGAUUAUACCCAAAAUAAUUAAUCGAUUGUACAUUAUGGUGGAGUUCUGCUGUCUGACAAGUUCGGCUCAAAUGUAGAGAUGUUUGACAUCAACAAUGUAACUAAAGACGCAUGACACCAACAUGGGUUGUUUUGAGAAAAUGUUAAGGAAUAAGCAUAACUAUAUAUGUUUGUAUUUUUCAAAUGAAAGUACGGAAUGCAAUACCUUUUCUCUUUCAAGAUGUGUCAUAAUCAAGUCGAGACUGAGGCAGUAAACGAGUGUCACUUUGUAACCGCAAGCAUAAGCCAUCGCUUCAACAUCAAUGCUAGGUUUUGCAUGAUCAUGUGAACUAGGGCUCACUCCAUCUACACAUGCAUCUUUUACUUGUCUAACUGUGCAUCCUCUGGCACGAGCAGAUGCAGUGGCCACAUGUAACUUGAAAAUAACUUAAGAGCUUAUUUUGUAUAAGGUAUUAGACAAAACUCGACAAUAUAAUAUACAGAAGUUUUAGCUUUUCUUUCUUCGACUAAUAUUGUCGAGUAUCAUAUAGUUCACUUUUCCAACCUAGCCAUUGAUGUUCAAGACAAUCAAUUGAUGGCAAACCUGUAACGUCUAAACAUGUUCAUAUACGGUAGAAAGAAAUCAUUAUCAACAUUUCAUGUCCCUCAUUAUAUUCAUAACCACAAGUUCACAAAACGAUUUUUCCCUUUCAUUUUAAAGGAAUGUAGUGAAAUAAAUAAAUACAAAAAUUAGAAAAAUCUGAGUUUCAAUGCAAGGAGCUAAAAAAUAUAUGGCUUGCCAACUACUUUGGGAAAAAAGAAGAGGCAUCAAAGAGGAAUUCUCAAAUCACUGCCAAAUUCUCUUGAAUUCUCACUUGAAGGACUAUGAAGAAACAACAAUAUUGAAGUCAUCACUAGCAAGAUCGCAAAAUUAUAAUUAAGCAAUGAUUUAAUCAACACACCCAAAUAACAUCAAAUAAAGAUGGGGGUGUUUAUUAAUCAAUCAUCAGACAACCACAUUAUUUUAAAACGGAUUUGUAGAUAAAUCGUGACACGUAAUUUUGACAUGUCUACCUAGAUCCUUUAAUGCUACUUUCAAUUCAUAUCUAAAUACAAGAAAUCCUUUGAAACCAGAAUGGAUUGAUAAUUUUAAGUCUAUGUUCCCCUCUUCUAACCUAAUUUACCAGAAUCACAAUUGUAAGGUGAAUGGAAAGAAGGGAAAAUGAACAUAGACAAAUUUCAUUCUCUCUUAGGUUUAUCUUCAACACUUGAUCAUCAAAGAGAAAUUAGUCUUCAUAACAUACUACUUGUGUCAUAAUAACUGUUCAAAUUAGAUAAAACUUAAAGAUAACGAGGCCAAACUCUGGAAUGAAGAAAAUGAAAGGACAUAUCUGUGAAAGAUAUUACAAAGAGCUAAAUUAAUGUCUCAUCAGGUUGGGAAAGGAGUCAAAUGGGCGGGAAGAGUUCUGAUAAUUUUUAAGUUCACACUGAUAAUAUUUUGAAUGCUUUUCCUUCCUUUCUCUCCAUUGAGAAAAGUGGGAGAGUUACAAAGAUCAUUUAAUUAGCAUGUGUUAACAUUGUUCUCACCGAAAUUUUCCUAUGCCUCUCUUGAACCUAUCAUCAUUAUCUGUUUAAUAGGCAAAUCAAAGUCCCGUGGGUCAAAUAAAAUAUGAAUCCAAGCCAUGAUGUGCAAUUUUUUUUUCUGUGAUGAAGUUUUCUAUCAACGUGACUGUGAGCAGACCAACAUGAUCAGAUAACAACUUGAUAACAUAUACAACCAUGUAAUCUCAAACCAAAUUGUCAAAAAGUACUCUUAUCUCAAAUGACAGUCUAUGUGAUUUUUACAUGUUUUCGCUAAAACGUAGAUAUAGCAUGUCAUUAUCAUCAUGAAAUUAUCAAUAGUACAUGUAUAUCACGGUCCAGUCAUUCCACGUUAGUAAGAUUGUCAACCUUAUUAAUACCAAACCAAAACACCUCUUAACAGUGAAGCUAUCAGUUAUUGUUCCCGGGGGUGCAUAGAAUCAAUUAAAAGCAUAGCUCCAUAAAAUAAAUAAAAUAAUAAAGCGUACUAUUUAAGAAAUAAAUAAAAGAUUUGAUGACUUCUUUCUACAAGCUAUUUUCAAGUUUCUACUCACUCUAUUAUUAAAUGGAAAGAAGAGCAUAAGAACACAUCCAACUGAAGCCUUAAUUACUUACAAUCCCAAUGGCUCAGUUCCAGUUGAUGAGGUCCCUUCCAUCACCAAAAUUUGGUCGAGCCAGUGACACUAUAAUCUAGCAUCACAAAAUAUCCCCACAGUGCUGCUUGUUCAUCAUCUAAGAGGUUGUUAACAUAAUAAAGAUAAGCAACAUUGUGACUGAGAGAUGUUAAUUAAGAUGAGAAGCAGGUUUAAAAGUGCAUCAACGGGUCAAGUAUGAAAGAGCACUAGCAUACAAAUAAGACAUGACUAAAAAUAACCGCGUUGCAUGUAUCUUGAGAAACAAAUUAUCAGCAUAAAUCUGUUAAAUAAGUAAAACAAAAUUUUGACAUUGAUUGCAAACUGAUCAUCCAAACUCCAGAAUCUCAAAUAUGAAUGCAAUUUCAUUAGUCUCUCCUCAGUCCAGAAGUUACCUCGUUUGAUUCAUUUAAGUAUACAUUUUAUCCUUCAACCAAAACCCAAAAAAAU
RNAcentral lists this long non-coding RNA (3377 nucleotides) under Olea europaea subsp. europaea. Lineage: Eukaryota; Viridiplantae; Streptophyta; Magnoliopsida; Lamiales; Oleaceae. The record is from RNAcentral.